This 445-nucleotide ribosomal RNA is filed under the name uncultured bacterium. RNAcentral's name for it is "partial 16S ribosomal RNA". It matches the Rfam family "Bacterial small subunit ribosomal RNA", at positions 354 to 796 of the family's 1533-position model. The record is from RNAcentral.
GUGAGGAAUAUUGGACAAUGGAUGGAAAUCUGAUCCAGCCAUGCCGCGUGCAGGAAGACGGCCCUAUGGGUUGUAAACUGCUUUUAUACGGGAGCAAUAAGGUCUAUGUAUAGAUUGAUGAGAGUACCGUAUGAAUAAGCAUCGGCUAACUCCGUGCCAGCAGCCGCGGUAAUACGGAGGAUGCGAGCGUUAUCCGGAUUUAUUGGGUUUAAAGGGUGCGUAGGCGGCUUUGUAAGUCAGCGGUGAAAUUUUGCAGCUUAACUGUAAAAGCGCCGUUGAUACUGUGAAGCUAGGAUUUGGUUGCUGUGGGCGGAAUGUGUGGUGUAGCGGUGAAAUGCAUAGAGAUCACACAGAAUAUCGAUUGCGAAGGCAGCUCACAAAGCCAAUAUUGACGCUGAGGCACGAAAGUGUGGGGAUCAAACAGGAUUAGAUACCCGUGUAGUCC